UCGACUCUGAAUGAUCAGAAUGAACCGGGGUACUGGGGCCUGACAUGCCUGAUAGUCUGAGAAUCAACAUAAACAAACACGUAUAAGAAUCUGUAUCCACUACCAACAUCAACCCUAAAUCUAUUACGAAUAAUCCUCAACCUCUCAACGUUCUAUCUACCUAUCACUCAUUUCUAGUCCUAAUCUUCUACCCAACCUAACAAUCUAGGCUUGUUUCAUUGACUUAAAACCUGUCGCUCUGAUACCAACCUGUGGCGCCCUCCAAACCCGGGUCAGAAGUUUGGGGUCCACAUCUCAACAUAAACCUGUAAUUAAUGAUAUAAUAUAUAUAGUGACCCUUCACUGUCCUUGGAUCGCAACAGGUUAAAGUAUAAAACAAGCCACAACACAACUUUAAUUAUUACAAACCCAAAUCCCAAAAUAAAAACUUAAAUCUUACAAGCUUACACGCCAUUUGUGUCUCGUUAUUCAAACUAGUACAUAUAUGAAAAGCCAGGUGCUGCUGAUAGCUCUCUUCAUCUCCUAGCCUGGAAUCCUGACCUUACUACUAGCCUGAGGGUCAUCGUUACCAACUUUCUCUGCCUUCACUGGAAAGAACAUAAAAUACCGCAAGAGUGAGCUAACCAGCUCAGCAAGUAUAACAAUAUCAAUUUAAAAUAUUAAUCAUAAGCUGAAGGAAACCAGUGUCUCAAGGAAUCAAUCUCAAUACCAAGAUUUGUUUUUAGAACAUUGAUUAGAAUUGGAUAUUAAAUUUAUUUUUAAAAAUCAAAGGUUAGGCUGCUGAUCAGUCAGACACUAACCCCGAGCAGGUCCCACCAUGCUCGUUUAUUGGAUCCAAGGCACACAUUGGCCUAAAGUGACCACUCAUCUGGUCUGACCAUUCAUCUGGUCCAAGUUUAGAAAACUAUCCAAUUCUAUCACAAUCAAGAUGAUCAACAAUAUUAUUCAAUAAAAUAAGAACAUCAAUAUCAUAAAUAAAUUUUGAAGCAGAAGCAACUACUAUUCAAAGUGUCUCAAAUGGAUCUCAAAGGAGAAAUGAGAAUUAUCUUCAUGGUUUUAGCAAAGAAUCAGAUAUUGCCUUAUAGGAUGGCAAAGCACGUCAAAGUUUCGUGUUUACAUGAAGAAGGGUUCUAGGUUCACAAAAAGAAUCCAAGUAUAAAUGAAUGCUGUUAAGAUCAAGAAACUGGAGUUUAUGGAAAGAAUCAAUCAACUGUAAGUUAUAUGUCAUAACAGAUGUUAUUUGGGGUCGUUCAACUGGUUACGGUCUGAAAUAAAAGUGAUUGAUAACUGGUUGAGGUAUCGAGGGUAUAUUUUUGAAAUGAAAUUAGGUUGUUAUGGUAAUCAUUUAGAAGUUUUAAAGAUGGAAGGUUUACAAUUGAAAUAAGUUUCGUAGCAGGUAUCAAAGAAUCGGUCAAAGGUUCAAGAAUCAAUAAGGUAAGUAAUCCAUAAUAUAGUUCAAGAAAUCUGGUUGAAGGUUCAAGAAUCAAUAGGAUAAAUAAUCCAUAAAAUAGUUCAAGAAAUUUGGUUGAAGGUUCAAGAAUCAAUAGGAUAAAUAAUCCAUGCGAUAAUUCAAUAGGUCACAGGACUUCAUCAGAAAGUUCACUAAAUAAUCACAACAGAUACAACAUAUAAUUGAAGGAAAGUCUGAGGGAACUUGCCUUAUAUAGCUGAUCUCAAGUUUCAACUACGCUUGCUCGCUAUACUACUCUAUCACCACUUGCUUUCCCUUCCUACGUCUCGCUUCUUCUGCUAAUCACAACAAUUCUUUAUCAAUAUAUGAUCUCAUACUAUUCUUAUCAUCCUUUAUUCGAAACGAGCUUCUAUCUACCCUUCGUUUCACCCAAAUCCGAUUUACGGAUCAAAAGAUAUGUCAAACACAAUUUUAUAUCAAUCACGUAAACACAUAACAUAUCAAUCAGAUAGCACAUAGCUCAUAUCACAUAAAAUAUUUAAUAAAAUAUAUUUUUCAAAAGAGGUUUGAAGUCAAACAGACUUUUCUGGUAUUUAUUAAGAACUUUUAAACAUUUUUCGGAAUUAAAACGGGUCAAAGAAUCAUUUUAUAAAUAAAUAAUCAAUUUUGGAUACUCGAAAUCAAGUCCGAAAUCAUUUGAAAACAAUUAACGAGCUUCAAUCAUAUUUUAGAAUAAUAUUUUAAAGCUCGAAACUAUUUUUCGGAAUUUUAAAAUCAUUUAAAAUUAUAUAAAAUAAUUAAAUCCAAUCAAUAAAUCAAUUAAAAUCAAUUAAUAAUUAAUUAAAAUAAUUAAUCAAUUAAUAAUUAACUUAAUUGACUAAUUAUAAUAAUUAAUUACUAAUUAAAAUUAAUUAAUAAAUUAAAUCAGAUUUAUUUUUGAAUAAUUAAAAACAAUUUUUGAAAUUAAAAUAAAUGAUUUUCGAAAUUAAAAUAAAUUAGUUUUUAAAGGUUUUAAAACUUCAGGGUUUAAACUGCAAGUUUUGAAACUUAAAGGUUUGAAUUGCAAGUUUUAAAACUAUGGUACAACAACUUCACCAUCUUCAAAAGAUGGGUGACCAAACGGAAAUUUUUCCGCCGGUCACCACCUGCCACGCCGGAGACGGCGUUUGCCGCCUCCUCCGACCACCAUACACUGCAGAUCCACUCCCCAUGUCACCGGGAACCCAUUUAUGUAAUUAGUUUCGUCAAAGGACGCCGGAAUCGGCCGGAUUGUGGCCGGGAAAUUCGCCGGCGACGGCGAGCUUCGUCGGCUCCGUUCCGGUCGAUUUCCAGGUCCCCCGACUUCAAAAUAUAGCUCAACCGACUCCUCUUUACACCCUCUAUCCAUUACAAGCUUCAAAACAUCCCCAGAAUCAACGAAUCGAAAAGCCCCAAUUUCAAUUGAAAACAUUCAAACAAGCUAUGAACCCUAGUUCUUCAAAUUCGAAAAUCAAACCCAAUUUUAAAGGUGUUAUGAACCUCCAAAUCACACAUAUGAUAUACCAAAAUGAUCAGGAGAACAUUAUCUACAACAUACAAUCACCAAAACACAUAAACAACUUCAAAAUCAAAAAGUCCCAAUUUGAAUUAAUUUAAUUCGAAUUUUAAACCCAAAAAUCCAAAUUACCUGAUGAUUUCUGAGUGUUUUUGAUGAUGAAAAUGGAUUCUACACGUCGAAACCUUCGAUUUGGAUACUUGAACACCAAAAUCCGAGUCCGAUAACACCUCCGAUUCUUCGUUUGAAUCUCAAGAACGCGAUAAACUCUCUCGGGAAUUUCUCGGUUUUAACUGGUUUUAUGAUUUUCGUAAUGAAAUAAAGUACGGUUAAG
This 3279-nucleotide long non-coding RNA is filed under the name Daucus carota (carrot). RNAcentral describes it as "long non-coding RNA (DCAR_LNC001773)". The record is from RNAcentral. Lineage: Eukaryota; Viridiplantae; Streptophyta; Magnoliopsida; Apiales; Apiaceae.